This 301-nucleotide ribosomal RNA is filed under the name uncultured bacterium. RNAcentral's name for it is "partial 16S ribosomal RNA". It matches the Rfam family "Bacterial small subunit ribosomal RNA", at positions 509 to 808 of the family's 1533-position model. The record is from RNAcentral.
CAGUCGCCGCGGUAAUACGUAGGUCCCGAGCGUUGUCCGGAUUUAUUGGGCGUAAAGGGAGCGCAGGCGGUUUAGUAAGUCUGAAGUUAAAGGCAUUGGCUCAACCAAUGUAUGCUUUGGAAACUGUUAGACUUGAGUGCAGAAGGGGAGAGUGGAAUUCCAUGUGUAGCGGUGAAAUGCGUAGACAUAUGGAGGAACACCGGUGGCGAAAGCGGCUCUCUGGUCUGUCACUGACGCUGAGGCUCGAAAGCGUGGGUAGCGAACAGGAUUAGAUACCCCCGUAGUCCCUGUCUCUUAUACA